CUUUCCACCUCCCUUCUCUUCUUCCCCGGAGCAUCCGUCCGGCGAGAGCGGCGGCCUCUGUAUCCGCCCCCAAGAGCUGUUGCGAUCGUGCCCCGUUGCUCUCCGAAUUCGAAAUCCUUGGAUCGAUGGUAUUAAAGUUGGUAGGUAGAAGGCUAAACUUGGUCUUGGCUGACUUUUCUUCGAUGUCGUUAGGGUUUUGAAACAAGAUUUGUCGGCCUCGGCGUUGCACCCGCCGGCAGGAUUUCGAGAAGGUUUUCAAUUUCUGGAUCAAUGUGGUUUUUGGUUCGUCGUUGUCGAUCCGUAGAGCUUAUUCGUCGAGAAGACGACGCAUAUAACUUUUCUUGAUGUUAGAAUUAGGUCUAUAUUGUUAUGUGUGCCUAUGAACUUUUUUGUUUAUGGAUAUUUGCACUGAUAGCAAGUCCUUUGCAUGCUGGUUUUAUCGUCACGCUUUCGUCAGACCUUCUGAAAGUGGCUUGGAGAAUGGUGUUCUAAUGUAGCUGGUAUCUAUAAUCAAUCUCCUUAUAGAACUCAUUAUCGUAGCUUUUUCUUGUCUUGGAUUUGACAGCAUUUUCUAUCUCUUUUGUCUUGUCAUGCAGUUUCUACUAAGCCUGCUUCCUUCUAGGAAGCAGGCAUAGAAAAAUCCUUCUGGUGACGAUGCCGACCUUUGCUAAUCCAGAGAACGCAUUAAAGCGUGCCGAGGUUAAGAGAUUUUUGUUAAGCUUUCACUUUUGUGCAGAAUUUAGUAUGUCACAAAGCUCAUGGAAUAUGUUAGUAGAAUUGCUUCUAGAUCUCUAUCCGUUCAAAAAACCAAUAUGCUGCAGUAUCAUGAUUUUAAGUUUUUUCCCUGGUAGAACUCAUGAAAAAUGUUUUGUUUCACUAACAUGAAGGGACUAGUAAAGUUAUGAUUUUUUCAGAACUAUACUUUCUCUGCUUUAACGAUGAUUGAUUACUUCCAUUGUAAUAUGUCUGACAGUCUAUCUUUUUUCUUUUUUUUUGCACAAGUUACUUUGCCCAGUCUAUUUAUGAUGCCUUGUAAAGUUGAUGACUGCCUUGUGACACAAAAACUCUCCAUCAUGCUGCUGUUUUGCUAACAACAUUUUUUUUAUAUCCCCUGUACUUCAGAAUUGAUUAAUGUUGAACAGAAGCAAGCUGCCUUGCAAGCACUACAUGAUCUCAUUACUUCAAAAAGGCAUAAGGCAUGGCAGAAGGCCCUUGAAAGCAUCAUGUUUAAGUAUGUAGAACUCUGUGUGGACAUGAAGAGUGGCAGAUUUGCAAAGGAUGGACUUAUUCAGUACCGUAUUAUAUGCCAGCAAGUCAAUGUUAGCUCGUUGGAAGAGGUUAUAAAGCAUUUCAUGCAUCUUUCCACGGAGAGGGCUGAGCAAGCUAGGAUUCAAGCACAAGCCUUGGAAGAAGCACCGGAUGUGGAGGGUCUAGAGGUUGAUAAGAGACUUGAGGACUUAAUGCUUAGCUAUGUUAGUGCGGAGAAAGGAAAAAACAGGUCAGAUCGGGAGAUUGUGACUCCAUGGUUCAAAUUCUUGUGGGAAACAUACAGGACAGUGCUUGAGUUUCUGCGAAACAAUUCCAAAUUGGAAUCACUAUAUGCGGUCAUAUUCCAACAAAGAAUAGUGAACUGCCGUGAAGCCGAGUAUAACCGACUGAAGAAAGAGAGAGAGGAUAAAAUCAAUCAGCUUGUAGCAAUGAGGUAAUGUGAAAGGGAGUUCAAGAGGAAGCUACUCUUUUACCUGAAGUCUGAGGAAGUGCAGCUGACCAGGCUUCGAGAAGAGGAGGAAGCGAGAAAACAUGAAGAGGAGGAAAGACAAAAGAAAGAAGAGAGAGAGAAAAGAGAGUUAAGAGGAGAAGGAAAGGCUGCAAAGAGAAGGUCUUCUCAGAAGGCCUGUCGGACCACUGUCUCGGUCAACUGACCCUGCUUCAGGUACUCACCCUUUUGAACCGCCUAUGCCUGCUGCACCUGCUGCUGCCAAGGCUGCACCGAGCUUGGGGAAGUAUGUGCCAAGGUUUCUCUGAGAAAGAAAUGAGGGACAACGGGCAAUGCACCCCGAGUCUGAUAGAUGGGGGAAGCAGGAUGACUGCCCUCCUCAAUCCAGUGAUAGAUGGCAAAACGUUGAAUGUCGAUCAUCGUAUCAUGGUUCGAGAGCGUCCUCAUCGUUUUCCUGCUCCUUGUCGAGGCUAUGCAGUGCAACCUAAUGCAAGAAUACUGUAGUGUUUUGGUCACCAGAGGAAUUUCCAGCCAGAUUAAUUAUUACAUAUGUCAAGUCUUAUUGUCUUUGAGGGCAUUUACUAGAUCUAGGUACCAUGUCGGCAGUUUCAGGCCUACCUAA
Non-coding RNA from Musa acuminata subsp. malaccensis (wild Malaysian banana), 2339 nucleotides. Lineage: Eukaryota; Viridiplantae; Streptophyta; Magnoliopsida; Zingiberales; Musaceae. The record is from RefSeq and is a predicted model, not a curated record.